AUGAUCUGGAAAGUAAUCUUUCAUAUUUUGCUAAAGAACUUACAGUUGCUGUUUAUUUUGGUAAUGCUUUAGACAAAAUAGGCUUUUGUACAAAGUUUGAUAGCUAAUCAAUUUUAGCUUUGAGAUUCUCAGUGGAACUCAAAUUCAGUAUUAACAUUAGGAGACAAAAUAGACUACACAGUUUUUUUUUUUUUAAAUUUUGGAUAGUGUGCUGUCAAAUGCUUAUUGGGUUAAUAAAUACAUUAUAAAUCUUUUCAGCCAUAGAGUGUUCUGUCGCCAAACUGUUCUGUAUUGAGUCAGCAAUUAUAUAUAUAUCUUAGUCUAGUCUACUGUUGUAUCUCUACUGAUAACCCCUUGAAGCUUAAUCUUCAUCUUAAUUGGUUUGGAGAAUGGAACUUUUAUUUAAAAUCCCAAGCUUGUGAUUUCCUCCUGGCUAGAAUGAAUAGACCACUAUUCACCACAGUAGAAAUAGCUAGAUCUUUAACUUUCCUUGAGUUGCAGGCUAAAUAUGAUAUUGUUCAGAUGUAAUGUAGAAUAUAGGGGAGACCAGAAAUUUUUGCUAGUGAAAGAAACAGGUUUCAAGAAAUUUGCAUGAGAUCUCAGCCUGCUCAUUUUAAUGACCGCAUACACUGUCCUGAAAGAGAAACUAAUUCUUUUAAGUUCAAAACUAGGAUUUCACUUCAGGAGAUGUGUUUAGUAGAUGCAUUAAGGUUAGGUAGCUGUGUUACAGAACUCAAAGUACAACUAAAAGGAUGAGGAAUUAGCAUAGUUAAACAUGGUAUAAUUGGAAAUUUAUGGUGUUUUAAAAUACAUUGUUUUCCUCCAGAGAACCUCACUCUACUCUGGUCUAGACUGGGCCCAAAACUCCAAAGUAAAUCCAGUCUCCCAGAUUCUGGGAUUAGCCAUGAAGCACCAUGCCCAGCUUACUAAAGUAGUAUUAAAAGGUUAAAGCCAGCUAGAUAAAUGCAAAUGUGGGUUUACUUUGAAUGCUUUGGAAACGGGACCAAGAAUGGCCUGUUUAUAGUAGUUCAGUUGUAGAUUGAAAUGAGCAAAGUGUUCUUUGCCUCACUGUAGGCUUAUGUUUGAACACUAGUGAGCACAGCGUAGGUUUUAAAGCUUAGGAAAUAGGGCUGUACCCAUACUGACAGUUGAUACCACUUUGGAACUACAAAUACUUUGAUUUCUACUCCCCGCCCCCCUCUGUUCCCUUAGGAUAUUGUAGGGAAACCUAUGAUUAGUUUUUCUAACCACGAAAGCACUUAAAUCUCUUUAAGCAAGUACUUUCAUAACUUCUGAUUGAAUAACCCAACUUGCUGUUCAGCUCAUCCUACUGGAGACAAAGGUAAGACACAUUUUCUGAUACCUAGUUUGGGAUCUGGAUUUUAAGAACUAAAGUUGUGAUGAAUAAUUGCUCCUGACUUGCAAUGUUCCUCUCUUCCUCCCAGCUUUAUAUUUUUAAUAGUUUUGAGUGUAUAAAUCUACUCAUCUCAAUUCUGGAGUUGAAUAUGAUAAAUUCCAAGAUCUGUCUAUGAGCCAUGCUUUUGUAGGGGUGGUGCUAUUUUCAGCAUUCUGAGGUCAAGGUCAACUUUUGGUGUUUGCCUUUUUGCUUUGUAUAUGAAAUUUGUAGUGAAAUUACAAAUGAAAUAAAUUAUAUGUAUUUAAAUAGUAUUAAAAGGAGAGAAAGUAUUAGACUGAGUUCUGUUAUAACAACAACCACUUGUAGCUUAUUUCCAUCAUAAUUUGAUGAUAGAUUGAUAACCCACAAUACUGGAAUACCACAGAUUGUUUUUAUUGAGCAAAAUGAAUGUAAAAUCUGGCCAGAGUAGAUGCCUUUAUUGUGUAAUUUGUGUAAAAGUCACAUAGGCAUUGUUGAAGGUGUUUUAUAUAUAUGAAGUAUAUGUGAUAAGAUCUUCAUGUAAAGUCUGAACAACCAUGGAUCCCAAAUAUAUAUCUAGUUUGGGUGAGCAAGGAGUUGUAGAAUUGUACUAGUACUGCAGAGGAUUAAUGUUACUAUAUGUAAUUUUGGGAGUGAAUAAAAAGCUGUUAAUUUGGAACCUUU
This 2059-nucleotide long non-coding RNA is filed under the name Mus musculus (house mouse). RNAcentral describes it as "long non-coding RNA chr11:88051697-88053756". Lineage: Eukaryota; Metazoa; Chordata; Mammalia; Rodentia; Muridae. The record is from RNAcentral.